RNAcentral lists this ribosomal RNA (137 nucleotides) under uncultured bacterium. Its description in RNAcentral is "partial 16S ribosomal RNA". It matches the Rfam family "Bacterial small subunit ribosomal RNA", at positions 355 to 509 of the family's 1533-position model. The record is from RNAcentral.
UGGGGGAUAUUGCACAAUGGGGGGAACCCUGAUGCAGCGACGCCGCGUGAAGGAAGAAGUAUUUCGGUAUGUAAACUUCUAUCAGCAGGGAAGAAAAUGACGGUACCUGACUAAGAAGCCCCGGCUAACUACGUGCC